Molecule: long non-coding RNA, 399 nt
Organism: Etheostoma cragini (Arkansas darter)
Lineage: Eukaryota; Metazoa; Chordata; Actinopteri; Perciformes; Percidae
Exons: 2
Source: RefSeq, a predicted model, not a curated record
AUGACAAAUGACAUGAAACAAAUUUGUUUGGGAUGUCUUUGUAAUGACAACUUGACGUUAACCAGGAUGACAUUACCAGAAGAUGUAUUUUUCAUGACAACUGGACAUUAAAAUUUCUCAGGAGUGUCCUUGUCAAGACAAUUUGACAUUAAACAGGAUGACAUUGCUGUCAUAACAAAUACAUCUUCUGGUAAUGUCAUCCUGGCUAAUGUCAAGUUUUCAUCACAAAGACAUCCCAAACAAAUUCAAUGUCAACUUGUCAUGACCAAGACCACUUCGGGUAAUGUCACUUUGAUUAGUGUCAAACUGUCAUAACCAAGACAACAUCGGGUCAUGUCACUUGGAUCAAUGUCAAGUCUUCAUAGCCAAGACAACCCAAACAAUGUCAAUUUGACAUGA